AGCAGCCGCGGUAAUUCCAGCUCCAAUAGCGUAUAUUAAAGUUGUUGCAGUUAAAAAGCUCGUAGUUGAAUUUCGAGAUCGGCUUACUGGUCGUGCUUUUGUACGUACUGGUAUAAUCGGUUUCUCCUUUCUGACGAACUUUAAUGCCAUUAAUUUGGUGUUUUAGGGAAUCAGGACUGUUACUUUGAAAAAAUUAGAGUGUUUAAAGCAGGACUCAUGCUUGAAUACAUUAGCAUGGAAUAACGGAAUAGGACGUUUGAUUCUAUUUUGUUGGUUUCUAGGAUCGACGUAAUGAUUAAUAGGGAUAGUUGGGGGCAUUAGUAUUCAAUUGUCAGAGGUGAAAUUCUUGGAUUUAUUGAAGACUAACUACUGCGAAAGCAUUUGCCAAGGAUGUUUUCAUUAAUCAAGAACGAAAGUUAGGGGAUCGAAGACGAUCAGAUACCGUCGUAGUCUUAACCAUAAACUAUGCCGACUAGGGAUCGGAUGAUGUUAAUUUUUUAAUGACUUCAUUCGGUCGCCU
Molecule: ribosomal RNA, 520 nt
Filed under: uncultured Glomus
Lineage: Eukaryota; Fungi; Glomeromycota; Glomeromycetes; Glomerales; Glomeraceae
Description: SSU rRNA
Rfam family: Eukaryotic small subunit ribosomal RNA
Source: RNAcentral